RNAcentral lists this ribosomal RNA (206 nucleotides) under uncultured bacterium. RNAcentral's name for it is "partial 16S ribosomal RNA". It matches the Rfam family "Bacterial small subunit ribosomal RNA", at positions 568 to 774 of the family's 1533-position model. The record is from RNAcentral.
AGCGUAGACGGCUGUGCAAGUCUGAAGUGAAAGGCAUGGGCUCAACCUGUGGACUGCUUUGGAAACUGUGCAGCUAGAGUGUCGGAGAGGUAAGUGGAAUUCCUAGUGUAGCGGUGAAAUGCGUAGAUAUUAGGAGGAACACCAGUGGCGAAGGCGGCUUACUGGACGAUGACUGACGUUGAGGCUCGAAAGCGUGGUAGCAAACA